GGUGACUGUCACUAGUCACCCCAUCCCUCUGUCACUAGUCACUCCCUCCUAACUGUGUCACCUGCUCCCUCACUCUGUCACUAGUCACCCCUCCCUCACUCUGUCACUAAUCACCCCCUCUGUCCUUAGUGACAUAGUGAGGGAGGGGGUGACUAGUGACUAGUGACAUAGUGAGAGAGGGGGUGACUAGUGACAGAGUGAGGGACGGGGUGACACAGUGACAGAGUUAGGGAGGGAGUGACUAGUGACAGAGAGAGGGAUGGGGUGACUAGUGACAGUCACCCCCUCUCUCACUCUGUCACUAGUCACCCCCUCUCUCACUCUGUCACUAGUCACCCCCUCUCUCACUCUGUCACUAGUCACACCCUCUCUCACUCUGUCAUUAGUCACCCCCUCUCUCACUCUGUCACCAGUCAUCCCUUCCUUCCCUCACU
RNAcentral lists this small RNA (434 nucleotides) under Pelobates cultripes (western spadefoot toad). The record is from RNAcentral. Lineage: Eukaryota; Metazoa; Chordata; Amphibia; Anura; Pelobatidae.